UUUUAAUAAAUGAGUGUUUAGGUCUCAUUCUAGCGAUUAAAUGUUGAUUUGUAUGCUCGCGCAUGAGAGACUUAGUUUAUUUCGCGGUAGAAAGGACCGUGUUUGAUUACGUUCUAGUGGUUUAAAUGCCAUUGUAUGCUCGUGCAUGGGAGACUAAGAAUUUGUUUGUAUCACCGUAGGAAGGACUAAGAAAUGUUCUUUUGUGAAAAGGUUUUCCAUCAC
RNAcentral lists this long non-coding RNA (222 nucleotides) under Lathyrus oleraceus (garden pea). Its description in RNAcentral is "Pisum sativum (pea) long non-coding RNA (PSAT_LNC032304)". The record is from RNAcentral. Lineage: Eukaryota; Viridiplantae; Streptophyta; Magnoliopsida; Fabales; Fabaceae.